UCGAGGAUCUUCGGCAAUGAGCGCAAGCUUGACCGAGCGACGCCGCGUGAGCGAUGAAGGCCUUCGGGUUGUAAAGCUCUUUAGUGGGGGAGAAAAGCCGCAAGGUGUGAUCUAUCCCAAAAAUAAGCACGGGCUAAGUUCGUGCCAGCAGCCGCGGUAAGACGAACCGUGCGAACGUUAUUCGGAAUCACUGGGCUUAAAGUGCGCGUAGGCGGGCUGUCAAGUCUGGGGUGAAAUCCCGCGGCGCAACCGUGGAACGGCCUCAGAUACUGACGGCCUCGAGGAAGGUAGGGGCAUGCGGAACUGUAGGUGGGGCGGUGAAAUGCGUUGAUAUCUACAGGAAAUCCGGUGGCGAAAGUGGCGUGCUGGACCUUUUCUGACGCUGAGGCGCGAAAGCUAGGGGAGCAAAC
RNAcentral lists this ribosomal RNA (410 nucleotides) under uncultured bacterium. Its description in RNAcentral is "bacterial SSU rRNA". It matches the Rfam family "Bacterial small subunit ribosomal RNA", at positions 355 to 773 of the family's 1533-position model. The record is from RNAcentral.